UUGGAACUGGUGUACUGUCUUAUCCACUGU
Molecule: non-coding RNA, 30 nt
Filed under: Rattus norvegicus (Norway rat)
Lineage: Eukaryota; Metazoa; Chordata; Mammalia; Rodentia; Muridae
Source: RNAcentral